GACGAACGCUGGCGGCGUGCUUAACACAUGCAAGUCGAACGGUAAGGCCCUUCGGGGUACACGAGUGGCGAACGGGUGAGUAACACGUGGGUGAUCUGCCCUGCACUUCGGGAUAAGCCUGGGAAACUGGGUCUAAUACCGGAUAGGACCACUGCCUGCAUGGGUGGUGGGGGAAAGCUGUUGCGGUGUGGGAUGGGCCCGCGGCCUAUCAGUUUGUUGGUGGGGUGAUGGCCUACCAAGGCGACGACGGGUAGCCGGCCUGAGAGGGUGACCGGCCACACUGGGACUGAGAUACGGCCCAGACUCCUACGGGAGGCAGCAGUGGGGAAUAUUGCACAAUGGGCGCAAGCCUGAUGCAGCGACGCCGCGUGAGGGAUGACGGCCUUCGGGUUGUAAACCUCUUUCAGCACCGACGAAGCGCAAGUGACGGUAGGUGCAGAAGAAGGACCGGCCAACUACGUGCCAGCCGCCGCCGUAA
This 478-nucleotide ribosomal RNA is filed under the name uncultured bacterium. RNAcentral describes it as "partial 16S ribosomal RNA". It matches the Rfam family "Bacterial small subunit ribosomal RNA", at positions 28 to 523 of the family's 1533-position model. The record is from RNAcentral.